This 333-nucleotide unclassified non-coding RNA is filed under the name Hevea brasiliensis (rubber tree). Lineage: Eukaryota; Viridiplantae; Streptophyta; Magnoliopsida; Malpighiales; Euphorbiaceae. The record is from RNAcentral.
GGAAGUCGAGAGCGCAUAUUGAUGACACUCCAUCAACCAGCAGCAAUGCAGGAUGGUUGUAAUCAUCAAGCAAUUUCCUUACAGUUGCCAAAUUGUUGGUGACUCCAGUUGCUGUUUCAUUGUGAACAAUACAGACAGCCUUGAUUGUAUGAGACCUGUCUGCAGCUAGCUUCGAUGCCAGUUCAUCCAGAUUUGCACCUUGUCCCCAUUCGCUCUCAAUGACAUCAACCUUAAACUUGAGACGCUGCUGUUGAUCGAUCCAGAGAAGGCUGAACUGUCCGAUCAGAAAGGAUACGAUCCUAUCACCCGGGGAUAAUGUGUUCGUGAGGGCAC